GGAUCCAGACUUUGAUCCUGGCUCAGGAUGAACGCUAGCUACAGGCUUAACACAUGCAAGUCGAGGGGAAACGAUAUUGGAAGCUUGCUUCCGAUAGACGUCGACCGGCGCACGGGUGAGUAACGCGUAUCCAACCUGCCCAUCAUUUGGGGAUAACCUUGCGAAAGUAAGACUAAUACCCAAUGAUAUCUCUAGAAGACAUCUGAAAGAGAUUAAAGAUUUAUCGGUGAUGGAUGGGGAUGCGUCUGAUUAGCUUGUUGGCGGGGUAACGGCCCACCAAGGCGACGAUUAGUAGGGGUUCUGAGAGGAAGGUCCCCCACAUUGGAACUGAGACACGGUCCAAACUCCUACGGGAGGCAGCAGUGAGGAAUAUUGGUCAAUGGGCGAGAGCCUGAACCAGCCAAGUAGCGUGCAGGAUGACGGCCCUAUGGGUUGUAAACUGCUUUUAUAAGGGAAUGAAGUGAGCCUCGUGAGGCUUUUUGCAUGUACCUUAUGAAUAAGGACCGGCUAAUUCCGUGCAGCAGCCGCGGUAAUACGGAAGGUCCGGGCGUUAUCCGGAUUUAUUGGGUUUAAAGGGAGCGUAGGCCGGAGAUUAAGCGUGUUGUGAAAUGUAGAUGCUCAACAUCUGCACUGCAGCGCGAACUGUUUUCCUUGUGUACGCACAAAGUGGGCGGAAUUCGUGGUGUAGCGGUGAAAUGCUUAGAUAUCACGAAGAACUCCGAUUGCGAAGGCAGCUCACUGGAGCGCAACUGACGCUGAAGCUCGAAAGUGCGGGUAUCGAACAGG
Molecule: ribosomal RNA, 786 nt
Filed under: uncultured Bacteroidota bacterium
Lineage: Bacteria; Pseudomonadati; Bacteroidota
Description: bacterial SSU rRNA
Rfam family: Bacterial small subunit ribosomal RNA
Source: RNAcentral